GACGAACGCUGGCGGCGUGCUUAACACAUGCAAGUCGAACGGAAAGGCCCUGCUUUUGUGGGGUGCUCGAGUGGCGAACGGGGGAGUAACACGUGAGUAACCUGCCCUUGACUUUGGGAUAACUUCAGGAAACUGGGGCUAAUACCGGAUAGGAGCUCCUGCUGCACGGUGGGGGUUGGAAAGUUUCGGCGGUGGGGGAUGGACUCGCGGCUUAUCAGCUUGUUGGUGGGGUAGUGGCUUACCAAGGCUUUGACGGGUAGCCGGCCUGAGAGGGUGACCGGCCACAUUGGGACUGCGAUACGGCCCAGACUCCUACGGGAGGCAGCAGUGGGGAAUAUUGCACAGUGGGCGGAAGCCUGAUGCAGCAACGCCGCGUGCGGGAUGACGGCUUUCGGGUUGUAAACCGCUUUCGCCUGUGACGAAGCGUGAGUGACGGUAAUGGGUAAAGAAGCACCGGCUAACUACGUG
Molecule: ribosomal RNA, 468 nt
Filed under: uncultured bacterium
Lineage: Bacteria
Description: partial 16S ribosomal RNA
Rfam family: Bacterial small subunit ribosomal RNA
Source: RNAcentral